AUUAGGAGUUAAGGAUGAUUUAUUGAAGAAUGAAUGUGCUGACUUUGAAUUAACCUUUGAGAUUCUGCAGUAACUGAACCAUAAUGUGACCCACAGUGCAUCACUGUGCCUUGGGCCAUAAUGCUCCUUGAAGAGGUUCAUCCUGCUCUGUACCUGUCCUCUCUAACUGCAGGAGGCUGUGCUGUAUUCUUCUUUUUUUCAUCACAGCCCUCCAAUCACAGAAUUCUACACCGAGCUGGAGGGACUUGGAUAUGUAAAGCCCCAAGGACUUGGAUCUGUAAAAGAUGCAAGCACAUGCUGCGCUAGUCUCUUGGCGCCUGAAUUCCUCUGCAUGAGCAUAUGUACGUUGGAACGGAUGCGUAGCUCCAGCCCGCUGAGAGGUGAACUGCAUGCUGGGAUGGCUGAGAGAGUCUGUCUGCUCACGUAACUAUGGCAGCAGUGGCGGUGAAGGUAAGAGGUAAGGGUGCUGUCUCAUCAGAUGACCUCCAUUUGCCAAGGUGCAAAGCACAUAUGCCAGCCGUCGUCAUGGUAUCCAGCAGAAAACUUCCCCAGUCAGUUAACAGCCGGAGGGGAGGAA
This is a long non-coding RNA of Siniperca chuatsi (mandarin fish), 577 nucleotides long. RefSeq lists it as uncharacterized. The transcript is spliced from 3 exons. Lineage: Eukaryota; Metazoa; Chordata; Actinopteri; Centrarchiformes; Sinipercidae. The record is from RefSeq and is a predicted model, not a curated record.